This 406-nucleotide ribosomal RNA is filed under the name uncultured bacterium. RNAcentral's name for it is "partial 16S ribosomal RNA". It matches the Rfam family "Bacterial small subunit ribosomal RNA", at positions 30 to 526 of the family's 1533-position model. The record is from RNAcentral.
AUUGAACGCUGGCGGCAGGCCUAACCCAUGCAAGUCGAACGAGUGGCGGACGGGUGAGUAAUGUCUGGGAAACUGCCCGAUGGAGGGGGAUAACUACUGGAAACGGUAGCUAAUACCGCAUACCAUCGGAUGUGCCCAGAUGGUAUUAGCUAGUGGGUGGGGUAACGGCUCACCUAGGCGACAAUCCCUAGCUGGUCUGAGAGGAUGACCAGCGACUCUUGAACUGGGACACGGUCAAGACGCCUACGGGAGGCAGCAGUGGGGAAUAUUGCACAAUGGGAGCAAGCCUGAUGCAGUCAUGCCGCGUGUAUGAAGAAGGCCUUCGGGUUGUAAAGUACUUUCAGCGGGGAGGCGUUACUCGCAGAAGAAGCACCGGCUAACUCCGUGCCAGCCGCCGCGGUAAUAC